Molecule: transfer-messenger RNA, 396 nt
Filed under: Salibacteraceae
Lineage: Bacteria; Pseudomonadati; Bacteroidota; Flavobacteriia; Flavobacteriales
Also listed under: 1 other name
Description: SHAN690 sp002390775 Standard tmRNA
Rfam family: transfer-messenger RNA
About the family: Bacterial tmRNA, also known as 10Sa RNA or SsrA, is named for its dual tRNA and mRNA-like properties. Its role is to liberate the mRNA from a stalled ribosome. To accomplish this part of the tmRNA is used as a reading frame that ends in a translation stop signal.
Source: RNAcentral
GGGGCUGACCGGUUUUGACAGCAAGAUGGAUGAUACUGUAAGCAAGCCGGGGAUUGAAUAGCACCUCGUUAAAAAGCUGUUUAAAAUUGUAACUGGCGAAACAUCUUACGCUCUUGCUGCUUAAUCAUUCGAUAGAAGAUUAGGCUUUAUCUCAUACUAGGUAUGGGACGAGACGUCUCUGGCACGGGUUUGUCUGACCCCUGUGUUGAUAGAGGCGUGGUCAAUGACAGAAUAGAAUGAUCAUUUCUUUGCUGAUUGUUUGAAAAUUAAGAAGAUAAGUUUUGGUUUGGCUGCCUCUGGCCUGGCUAAGAUCGAAAAUCAAUCAGAAGGCUAAGCUCGUAGAAAGCUUUAUGGUUCCUUGUUUGGACGUGGGUUCGACUCCCACCAGCUCCACAA